UGGGGAAUAUUGCACAAUGGGCGCAAGCCUGAUGCAGCCAUGCCGCGUGUAUGAAGAAGGCCUUCGGGUUGUAAAGUACUUUCAGCGGGGAGGAAGGGAGUAAAGUUAAUACCUUUGCUCAUUGACGUUACCCGCAGAAGACGCACCGGCUAACUCCGUUCCAGCAGCCGCGGUAAUACGGAGGGUGCAAGCGUUAAUCGGAAUUACUGGGCGUAAAGCGCACGCAGGCGGUUUGGUAAGUCAGAUGUGAAAUCCCCGGGCUCAACCUGGGAACUGCAUCUGAUACUGGCAAGCUUGAGUCUCGUAGAGGGGGGUAGAAUUCCAGGUGUAGCGGUGAAAUGCGUCGGGAUCUGGGGGAAUACCGGUGGCGAAAGCGGCGCCCUGGCCGAAGACUGUCGCUCAGGUGCGAAAGCGUGGGGAGCAAACAGG
RNAcentral lists this ribosomal RNA (429 nucleotides) under Chloroflexota bacterium. RNAcentral's name for it is "Chloroflexi bacterium partial 16S ribosomal RNA". It matches the Rfam family "Bacterial small subunit ribosomal RNA", at positions 355 to 776 of the family's 1533-position model. The record is from RNAcentral. Lineage: Bacteria; Bacillati; Chloroflexota.